GUAUUUAGGAGUGGGUGUCGUUUCCUCUUUCAUUUGGUGGCUCUGUUUAGAUAAUGCCGAGGGGAGAGAGAAAGAGUUCGAGUGGCGGAGCAGAGGAGGCAAUUCCUUCUGUUCAUGUCGAUUCCGAGAUAUUCCACCGCUCGAUCUUGAUUUCUCUUCCCUUUCUCUUUGAUCCCUGGCUGCCGCGGUCGGUUGUUCUUGUCUCUCGCCCUCCCCGGUCUUCAGUUUCCCUGGUUCCUGAAUCUCAAUGAAUUAGUGUGUACUAGGCCUGCAGUGCUGAUGUAGUGUUAGUCCAUGGAUUUUUCUUAUUUUUGUCAGUGCAAUAUACCUCAGAAUUACAGUGUAAUGUAUCCCAUAAUUGGAGUGUGAUCCCCAUGCUUCUUUAUUCUAAUUACAGUGUAAUGUACCCUAAAAUUAUAGUGUAUUCUAGCCCAGAUGGCACUGUAUAUGCCUACAAUUGCAUUUUCGUUUACUAACCCCAGAUUUACAGUGUAAUAUACCCCAGAUUUUCACUGUAUUUUGUAUGCUUCAGGACUGUAAUUAUUGCAUGGUUCCCAGUUUUACACUGUAAUUUGCAUGGUACAGCACUGUAAUUGUUGUAGGGCUUUCAGUUUUUGUCAGAUAGAUUACUUUCAAAUGUUUCAUCACUGUAAUAUACCCUAGAUUUUCUCUGUAAUUUAUAUGCUUCAGAACUGUAAUUGUUAUAUGCUUCAGAUAGAUUACAUUGGCUUCUUCGUCUGGGCUUACACUGUAGUAUGCCAUAGUUUUACACUAUAAUUUGUAUGGUUCGACAUUGUAUUUGUUGUAGGUAUUUGCGAGGUAGAUUACAGUGGAUUUUACCUUUGAAUUGGAGGGCUUACACUGUAAUUUACUGCAGAUUUACACUGUAAUUUGAAUGCUUCAACAUUGUAAUUGUUGUACGGCUUACAACGUAUUUGUCACAGUUGAUUUACCUCUGAUUUUGCUGUGUAAUUAGCAUGCUUUUAGGACUGCAAUUCAUGUAUUUUCUUGCUUUUUUAUUUUCUUCUUUUCUUGUGCUAGUGUGUCUCCGUUGCAGUAGUAUUGAGCAGAGGUCCUGUUUUAGGUUGAUGAUUGUUUUUGUGUUCUUUCUAGAUUUGUCUAGUAAAUAGUGUUACAUUAGCUGUUCAUGUGUAUUCUUUAAUGAAGUGUAUGGAGAUUUUGUUCUACUAUUUUACUUCUUUUCUUUUUCCUCCUUCAUGUAUUCUGUUUAUAUGUUUUACUUUAAUGAGUAGGCUACAGAAAGUCUCUCAUCUGGACGUUUGGUUAGUAUCAUCUCUUGACAAUGCAGAUUCUGUGGGUGAACCUAUUGUGCCUAACGACUUUGCGGAAGAUGGUUCUUAUCCUAUGUCUACGGAACUAUCUGGUGAUGAAGGAGGGUUUGACAAAUCUCUUUUGAAGUUCUAUUUGAAUCAAGUGUGUUUUCCUUUUCUUGUACUAUUUUGAUUUUGUUUUGUGUAUUUUCUUUGGGUGGCCCUUGUGUUUUUGUCAUUUCAGAACGUAAAAUGCUUGAAAGGAAAUUAUCAUCUGCUUCCAUGUUCAUAGGCCCAUCUCCUGAGUGUACCUGCAAGCAAAAGGGCAAUUUGUUUUCUAUAGUUGUGCUUUUCUCAGAUUGGUAGCUCUGUGGUAUUUGAAUUUUGCUUUUACUGAAUAUAAUAUCGGAAUGUAGAAGUGCGGUGAUAGAAAAUGUGUCCUGCGACAUAUUUGUUGUGA
Molecule: non-coding RNA, 1731 nt
Organism: Aegilops tauschii subsp. strangulata
Lineage: Eukaryota; Viridiplantae; Streptophyta; Magnoliopsida; Poales; Poaceae
Source: RefSeq, a predicted model, not a curated record